AGAGCGAACGCUGGCGGCAGGCUUAACACAUGCAAGUCGAGCGGGCGUAGCAAUACGUCAGCGGCAGACGGGUGAGUAACGCGUGGGAACGUACCUUUUGGUUCGGAACAACACAGGGAAACUUGUGCUAAUACCGGAUAAGCCCUUACGGGGAAAGAUUUAUCGCCGAAAGAUUCGGCCCGCGUCUGAUUAGCUAGUUGGUGAGGUAACGGCUCACCAAGGCGACGAUCAGUAGCUGGUCUGAGAGGAUGAUCAGCCACAUUGGGACUGAGACACGGCCCAAACUCCUACGGGAGGCAGCAGUGGGGAAUAUUGGACAAUGGGCGCAAGCCUGAUCCAGCCAUGCCGCGUGAGUGAUGAAGGCCCUAGGGUUGUAAAGCUCUUUGUGCGGGAAGAUAAUGACGGUACCGCAAGAAUAAGCCCCGGCUAACUUCGUGCCAGCAGCCGC
RNAcentral lists this ribosomal RNA (448 nucleotides) under uncultured bacterium. Its description in RNAcentral is "SSU rRNA". It matches the Rfam family "Bacterial small subunit ribosomal RNA", at positions 26 to 518 of the family's 1533-position model. The record is from RNAcentral.